CCGACUUGUUAACUGGUAUCAUCGCAUCAGGCUACGACAAAGCCAGCAAGCAGCAAGGCAUGAUGAUGUUGUAGGAAUCGAGUGGCGUCUUGUUUUUCAGGAGCGUGUUUUCACCCCCUUCCCCUUUUCACCACAUCCGGAAUGGCGGCAAUUUUUGCCGUCCACCAAUUCCUACCGGAUCUGUUUCUGAGGCGAAUUUCGUGGCCGAUUAUGGACAGCAGGAAUCGUGAGAAUUCACAAGAACCCGCAGAUUCACGUUCAGUCGCUCGAUAACAAGUUUUGUCUAGCCAUGAAGGCUAACCAUAUAAGCGGUAGAUUGUGUCCUUCCAGAGGAGGAAAUCUACUUCUAGACUUUUAGAAUCAGCAUCUCCAUAUCUUUGGUGUCAACGUGGUGAAAUGAUGUCUGAAGAUCUUUGACUUGUUUGUCCCCACAUGCUUGCAUGGUGUGAAAUACGAUCUGCCUGAAACAGGUAAUGUUUUAUUUUGAAAAGAAGCCAAAUGUUUUAUUUUGUGUCUGUGUCCGACUUCCUUUCCAACAUGGGUUCAUCUGUGCUGAGUUUAUGUGCCAUGCUGCGGCGUCUGGAAAAAACAGAACUCUUGUGAUCACCUGCGGAACGGAAAGAAGCCGGUGGAAAUUGACACAAUGACUUAAACGGCUACGAUAAGUUGUGAUCGGCGGAAAUGACCUUUUCGUAGCCGUUCUGGAUGCGGUGGAAAUUGGGGGUUAGGGUGUUUGCACUGCCUCCCCUUGCACUUCAGCUUUAAUGGAGAAAGAGAAGAAAGAAGAAACAAAACACAGAGAGAGGCUUUGGAGAAACUGGGGAGGCUUACGUUCAAACACCCUGGAAACAGACAUCUUUGUGCUAAUAAGAGGUCGCAUCAUUUUAUGUAAAUUUCAGUAUAUAGUGACUAUAUGCUUUGUUAAAACACAUCCCACUCUCGUUGAACAAUCUUUAGCUGGAAUAUAUUGAGUUUGAAUUAUAAAUGUAAAACGCUAAGUGCUCAAACCUCCUACAUUCCUUUAUGCAUAGAGAAAAGCACACACGAGCAGCAUCAGCAUUAACGUCAGUCAUUUGAUGUUAAUUUUAUGACUUUUAUUUUUGUUGCCGAUGAUUUCUAUUAACUGCAAAUCACGGAAUAAUCACAGAGACUACGGCCUGAAGACAGGCUUAUACGACGCUUUAUUGAUUGCAGUUAAAUGGCAAAUUAAGUCGUCAGUGUUGCAGGCAGACGGUGGGUUUGGUUCAAUUAAAAACGUCAUCAGUUUCAGCAUCAACAUGGUUCAGCUCUCCAGGUGGUAUAAAACGGGCCAUCCACUGCAGACAUGCUUUUAUUGCUCUGAAUGUGGCACACAAUGUUAAGAAAACACCUACGCUGUCACAGAAGUGUCGCUUUUGAAGACAUUAUCUGAGGAGAACAACAAAGUAUAGAAAUUAAAUCUUCUCACAACAACAGGGAAUCUAUAAAAGCAUUGAUUGCAGUUCAUCAGUAUGUGUUUGGGCAUAUAUUCUGGAAAUCCAUAACAUGCUGAGUUAGAGUUUGGAUUCAAAACAAAAGAUUCACUGAAGCUAAAUAUACCGAUAAAAAUCUGAGUCAUAUGAAAUAACACUUUCAGAACAAAAUAGGAGGGGAAACGUCGGUGCCAGAUAAACAAAAAGUAUCCUCUCUCAGCGAAAGUGUCAUGUUGCCAUGGCUACACACCUACAGCUUGUAUUUAUGAAAGUAAUUUCAUUUGCAAAUGAAACCAACACCACUAAAGCCAAUCUUAAGAGGGUAGACAACAGCUUUUACUCUGCCCGCGGUUCAUGUCCUGCAUAUUUUAAAGUUUAACGAGUGAAGUUAGCCCUCCGCCUUGUGCCUCACGGUCUGUUAUAAGUAGCUGGAGUCAUGUCCGAGAGUGCAUGGGUGGACCAGCAUGUGGGUGAGCACUUGCCAGGUAGAGAAAGGUAUUGCUGUCUGUAGGUGGAGGUUAAAUUUUGUGUUUUUCCGCAUGAAGAGGCAGAACAGUGAGAGAGGCACCGAGGAGAAAAGAGAGAGGAGAUAAAAAUGAGGGAGGGAGCUCUUCAGCCUUGCCAGAGGAUCAGCGUGUGGGCCAUUAGCAUACUUGACCUAGCACAACUUUAUUAGGUCAAAGGGGAUUUUUCUUUUUUAAAUUCUGUCUCCUUUUCCAGCGCAGACUUCACUGACGCCGUACAGUGAUGAGUGUGAUAAGUGACGCUUUAAUGUAAAACAGGAGCUUUGAAAAGCAAACCUCACGCCCUGAGCUCGUGACCUUUGGCUUAAAAUGAGCUUAUCACACUUGAUCUCCACGUUUGCUCUCAUUUAACUGACAGCACACAAAACUUCAGGUCGAUGUAUGAUGGCCGAUACCGGGAGCUGAGUCGAAGAGACAUUAAUCAAACUGAAGAAAACAAUGACAGACAAAAUAAUGAGGAGGAUCUCAUGCGGGUGCUGCUGGUGUUUCUACAUUUGUUAAGAAAUACCGUGUGACCAAAGGAUGGAGAUCAAGACCAGGUCUAAUAAAAACCUGAUUCUACAUGUUUUAAAACCUGAAAUCAAUCACAUUUGAGCUAAUUGAUUCUGCUAUUGAGUCUUGAGGGUCCCAUGAAAUAAUGUUAUACUUUAAGUCACGUCAUGUUAACUAAAUAAGUGGUGCAUGAUCAUUAAUAGACCGUCUAAUAAAGUUUUUUUGUUCUUUUAGGAAGAAGAAUUCUGGUGGUCAGAUGUUUGACGAGGUCCCAACUGUGUCUAACUCGACAUUAAUCUCUCAAAAGCAGCUGCUUUCAGGACAAAGGUACAAUCAUCUCUGACUGUUUGCAUUUUUAAGAUGGUCUUUUUUUAGACUUGUCAUCUCCCAUUACUUAACUCUCUGUGACACAGUAUUUCUUGGCAGCUUGACAUUGAUCGUAGCUGCAUUAGUAACUGUUAUAUUAAAAUCAGCUCUUUUAGUCCGCCUGUUUUAUAACCUGAACUAUUUUUGGAGCCAGACUAUCACUAGGUGUUUCCUUUUUUCAUCUCUUGUUGCUGUGGUUGCAGGUGAUCCCUGGCAGAACUCAUUGAGGGUACUCUCCCUUUACAAAGAGGUGGUGCUGUCUGAUACUGGCAAUCAAAUUUAGGUCUAGACAAGGACAUUUAAAGUAUCUUCUGUGUUAGAUAGAAAUGUUAUAGUGUGAAAUAUUUCACAGUAUUUGUGCUUUUUAAAUAUUUGUCAAAGCACUUUGUAAACUUCAGUUUUUAAAAGUGCUAAAAAAUGAAGUUAUUAUUAUUAAUAUUAUUAUUAUUUACUUUAACAUCUUACUGAGCAAUAGAUGGAUGUUAGACAUUUAGUUUUUUUUAGACCUAAUUUCAACCGCUUAAACCCAUUAUUCCACAACUAUUUACUUCAAAAAGUAACUGUGAAUUGCAUAACUGAUCUCCAAGUACGUAACCCAAUUAAUUAGGAUAGCUGCUGAGCAAUAUACAGUGUAGUAUAGAUAUAGCACUGAUAUAGACUUGGUCUAAAUUUAGACGUCUAGAAAACCUUUAUUUUCAGACCUGUGGUAGCCUGAUUUUAGAGCAGUCAUCUAGGUUACAUUUAGACGUCUAUUAGACCUUUUUUAGACCAAAAAAUGCUCAGUGAGAUGGCUUAGACCAUGAUCACAAUCACAUGGUAUGGAGCCCAAACAGAACAUACAACACAGGUAAUGUAGUUACAGCACACUGCAUGGCUGUUGGACAAAAUAAUGAAAGGAUAUAACAGAAUAUAAAAAGGUGUAAAAAGAGUUCAGCAGGUGGAGCAGGCUUGUAAAAAUAAUCUCUGCAGAAUCAUACAGAGCAAGGCUCAAACUACUAAAUAUGGAAUUACUGCUACUAGAGAACAGAACAGAAGACCUUUCAUGAAUAAAAUGAAAGCAUGUUUACAUGGUCUGGUGUCAAGAAAGUCUGGCAGGAGAAAACACACAUUUAGUUGAGAAAUCUCUCAUGGCUGCAGCCCUUUGACGAGCGUCUGUCGUCUGUUGGUCGGUUGUUUUACACUGAAACAUGCUCUAAACUUAAAACAUUGCCCUGAUAGAUCUGUUUGAUAUGUUAUCUGUACCUGACAGUAAAUUGAACAAAAAAUCCUUUUUAUCAAGACUCAGUUUUAUGUUAACAUCUCUAGUGUAGACCUCAAAUACAAGAUAAUUCAAUUUUGAGUUGUAUUCAAGGAGAAAAGAAACCUAUUACUGCUUUUCACAAGUUUAUGUCAGUCUUUUUCUCGUCUAUCAUAUUUCUCUCUGCAGCUUCCUUUCCUCAACAAUGCCCCCGAACCAUUAAAAUCACCUGCGCUGGAAAAUAUCAGAGGUCCAAUUACUGAAGGAAAAAAAAAGCUCAUAAAGGGUUUCAGUAGAGAGGACAAAUGAGUGAACAGAUUAGGAGGGCAGAUGGAAGAAAUAAAGCAUCAAUGAGGAAAGAUAUGGAUGAGAUGGAAAGGGAGAAAUGGACAGCAGGAGGUCCUGAGGAUAGAGGGAGAAGGGGGUGUAAAUCUGGUUUAAUGGGUGGAAACAGGUCCUCAGGUGUCUAUAACAGCACACGCACACACACAUACUGUAUAUACACAGUGGCCACAACUUACAAGGAAAGACAAGUGUGUGUGUGUGUGAUCUCAGUAUGCGGCUGUAAAAAUGCAUGAAUCUGUGGGAGGUGAGCUGUAUGCAAAAGAGGAAGGGUGUAUUUUAUGCGAUGGCAGAUUAAUGAGCCUUAAUAGCAGAUUUGUGAUCAAAGGUAGCUGCUCGGUGAGUUACCGCUGAGGUGUAAAGAAGAAAUGUGUCUCUCCUUGUAUUGUACUUUGCCUUCAGCGGUGGAAAAUUUACUGCCUCAGUUCUUUUAACCUUAAAUUUAUCAGGAAAGUGAUAUGUAAACCACCCUCGACUCUGAUAUUUAUGCCCUUUAUGUCAGGACAGUUUUUUCUUCUUUUUUCAGGGGACUUUAGGUGCACUACCAAACUAGUCAAGACUGUGUUGCUGUUUUUAUAUGAUCUAUUAUCCUGUUGAUGACUCGGUGUAAUCUUUCUCAAUAAAACCCCAUCAAUAACAAGGACAGGAUUUCAAUCAGCACGGACGAGAUAAUUGGUAGAUAAAUGAUGAGAGUAUUAUUAGUAUUAUGUUUAUUGAUUGUUUGCUGGAGAUGAAUCAAGACAAAUGCAGGUUGUCAGAUAGAGCCGUUUGUGAAUUUUACCUCUGGCCUCAAGUAACUGAGACGGCAUUGAUUGUGAGCAGAUUAGAUGGACUGACUGGACCGUGUCCCACUGUGAGGAGUUGAUGAUAAUGAUAAUAACACAGGAGGUAAGCGCAACAGUUUGUGGAGGAGGCAGGGAAUAAAAGAGCAGCAGGGUGCUGAGAAAAGCAAGUGAAAAAGACGAGAAAAUGACAACAACUAAACAACAUAAUCAUAAGAGCCAACUGUCAGAGAACAGUAAUGUCGACUUUACUGGGAACAAGUUUGGACAUGAGUCUUCUUGACUUUGGUUCUGGGUGUAAAUGAUGUCUAGACUUUUAAAAUGAAUUUCAGAGGAGUAAAGAUAAGUAAAUGCUACAGUGAAGUCAAGAAAUAAGGUAUUAAAAAACUCCACUGUGUCCACAAAGAUUGUCUGCAAACGAUAACAACAACUUUGCUUUAAUUCUGAGAAAUUUACAGACCCGAACUUGGAGAAAAAAAUGAAUUUUAUCCAGUUUGUUGUCACCUCUUGGUUUGUGCACGACUGACCAUAUUUGGACAAGGGUAUGGAGCUACAAUAGAGAGAGUUCAGCCCCGUAUAAUAUUAGCUUUAGCUCAGUAAGUGGUUCAGUUAACUGGUCUCAGCUAAAAUGUUUGGUGAUAUAUAUAUUUUGCGUACUUCCAUAAAAUGUCUACAUCUUUUUGUAGCCAGUGAAGUCUCCCCCUGCUGGUCAUAAAAAAGAACACACUCCCUUAAAGUUUAAUUUUUCAGCUCGAGGCUAUGUCCACUCAUAGACUGUAUAUAGAAUGGACACCGUCUGCCCCCUCUCUGGGUGGAGCCACUCCGAGAACAGCACCCUCUGGUGACGGGCUGCAGUAUAGGUCAUAAAUCCCGCCUCCUCCAGCAAUCCCUAUGGAGCUGUGGACAAACUUUAUAAAUUUAUUACACAGAAUAUAAAUGUUUCUCCCCCCUGCUUGUGAUGUUGACAUGUAGUUGAUGUCAGACUGGUUUGUGCCCAAGUCCUCUUUUUUCUGUGAAGCUCCAUUUUUAAAAGUUAUUAGGGGGUUCAUGUUCUCUAUAAUUGACACCUGAUAAAGCCUACAGGUGUACGAAGAUUGCGUAGCUCACCCGGGGAUACGCUGUUUGAGCCAAGCGUCAUCACAGUAACUCUCUGCGAUGAAGUGCGUACGACGCUACUGCACAAUGUUGGUUUCAGGAAAUGGAGAAAAAUCACAGAAAUACUGCGAUUCGUCUUCAAAUCCAUUUACUGGCAGAAGGUGGAACCAAGUUGUCCAUAGUGUAUACAGUCUGUGUGUCCACCUCUUUUAGCUAAAUUCGUCACUAUCAGACUCAUUUAUUUUAGCAUUUUAAUAUUAAAUUCAGUUUGUCUCUUGGUAAUUUUCCUUGACAUGCUUGUAGUGAGUGAUUGUUAAGUUAAACAAAGGGUUAAAAAGUCAUCUCAAAAUUGUGUCAGCAUGUUGUGCAGGUGACUGUUUUUGCCCUUCACUACCUACCUUUUUCUACUCCUAUAAAUCAUGUGCACACCACUUUCUCUCUCUCUCUCUCUCUCUUUCUCUCUUUCUCUCUCACCCUUUCUUCUUCUUCUCCUCCAGAUGAGCUCUGCCAAAAAAGGCUGAGUCACAGUUGGCUCUCUGCUCCGAAAGUCUAUUGUCAUCCAGACAUUCAGCCCUUCUCCCCUCUUCUUCUCUCCUGGCUCGCUGAUUUCUUAUUCCCUCUCUCUUUUUUUUUUUGCUCUUUCAUCUUUUGUCCUUCUUUUGGCUCAGGUGCGGGUGUCUUUUGUGUGAAACAGUGCGUGAGAAUACUGUCCUCGGAUCUCAUAGGAUUAUGCAAAUAAUAUUCAUGCUAGCAAACACAAGGACUGUAGAAAACGCGGACACAAACACGCGCACAUGAAUUGUUUUCAGCAUUUAAUUUCUUAAAGAAGCAAAGCGUUGAAAAUGAGAAUAAUUCAUGAUAAAUAUGAUGAAAUAUUGUAAUGCUAUGGUUUGCUGUACUUCAUUCAGUCUCCAUCUCCCUCAGGAGGUCUUUUUCUGUGUUUUGAAAAUUUGCUGUCAUGUGCAAUCAGAGACGAAGUCGAGGAGGAAAACAUGACCUAUUUUGAGUCUUGAUUUGAUGCGUUUUUUCCUUCAUGGAUAUUUCAUAAAGAAGAAGGAAAGGUGCUGAGUUUGUUGCGGGAUGGAUCGAGAUCAGAGCAUAUGCAUGAGUUAUAAACCAGACUGGAGGAUACUGAAGAUGGUGGUCGCUUUAAAUUGUUAAAAAAUGCUGCUUGAGUCUGAAAUGUGACAUGAAGCUUUGCAGCUUUCGAGGUGUUGUGGUUUGGCUCGUGCCUGUCUGUGGCCAGGACUUCCUCUUUUGUGAUUUUAUUUAUUUAUUUAAUAAACCUACAGUGAAAAGGAAAAAUCUGCUAUGUUAUCCAGAAUACAACUGCAUGAAAUGUGCUGAUAUGGAUGUUUACUGCAUUCACUGAGAGGAAUACACAGCAUCUGUUGAAUCUGCCGACAACAUUAUCAAACAAGCAAAUGUUGAAACGUUCAGAUUAUAAUGAGACAUUCAAAGUGACGGCAGCUGCAGCACACAGUAUCUACAUGUAAGAAGUCUGUAUGAAUGUUUGAUUUCACUGGAGGAUUAAGAUCAUUUUUAAAAAUCUGUAAGAAAGAAAAGUUGCAGCUGUAGACAGCACUGGGUCCAAUCUGCUCUCCCAUUUCUUACCCUUAUUGUUUUCUCAAUGUGUAAUAAACAUACAUCAGUAAACUGCAGUAAAAGCUGAAACCAAAGCCCCACUGUAAAAACACAAGGACAGCAAAUCACCAGUGUGUGAAACUGCUGUAAUUUCAGGGAGAUAAGUCAUACAGUAAUGUAGUUAAACUUUAAUCUGCUCUGGCUAUGCUCUAAAAAAAACUAUGAGCUUUUCAGUGAAGUAAUUCAAGGUUUACUCUGCUGAAAGUGGGUAAGUCCAAGCCGAAUAUAUGCACAUGUAGAAGCUUCUAAUUGGGGAUUGAAUGGACAGUUUCAAGACAAAAUAUUGAUGUUAUUAAUAAGUCAUUAGUAUAGAAAUACGAACUUUUGAUGAUUUGUUUUUGGUCAAACUUUGGUCCAAAAAAGACAUGCUUCCCAUAGGUGUCACUGUUUUGUGCUGUCAAGCAUUUUUAAAAAUAAAAUAGGAUUAAAAAUUAAAGCUCCUGUAAGGAACUUUUGUGGAUUUUGGAGGGAUUUGGUGUCUCCUGUGGACACUGUAGUCUAUUAUUAUCUUGUCCUCUGCAUGAAUUAGAUUAAGAGAGCUCAUCCUGUUGACUUUUGACAGUCAGAUGUAUCAAUAAUUGGGGUUUUUUUGUAUGAAAAUUGUUCAAGCAAGUCUGUUUUUUCCUUUUUCGGGGCUGACACCUGCCUUCUUACACUGGUUUCAAAUAUUAAAAAUAUUCUAAAAUAAAAAUAAUCAUCACUGAUGGUUUUGUUUGCUUCUGGGUGUCAUUAAAAGGCAGGAAAAUAAAUUUUAGAAUGAAAAAAAAUCUCUCAGGAGCUUUUUAGUUUGAUUUUAAAUAAACUGCAGCCAGCGUGCUUAAUUUGAAGAGCUGAAUUGCAUGUGAACUGUAUACAUGUUCACAUGAGAAAAUCCUCUAGAGUAGCAAAGCUGCAAUCACAGCAAGUUACCCUGAAGCAGCUUUCAUUUCACGUACAUGCUUCACCAUGAAGCGUAGAGUCACUCAUAUGAAUAUAACAUAGAUAUUUCUCUCUUUCAUCCCCAUAAGACACUUGAGGGUGAUAAGUGCAGCAGCAGCAGCAGAGAGUGAGAUGGGAUCUUUGUUUUUAUGGAUAUGGUUCAAAGCAUCACCCCUCAUCUCCAUCCAGCCGUGUUUCUUUGGCCCUGUGGAAAGAAACGUGCGUAGAUAGAUUGUGUAUGAGUGACAUUUCUGGGCCAUUAACACCCGUCGCCAUUCCCGUUCAAGCAAUCCAGUGAUGAAUUUUACAGAAGUCAAUUUAGUAACCUGACAUUUUAGUUCUCCAUUUAAUGCAAGCCCCUGCGGUUCUGUCCUCUGUCAAACAGCCUCUGAAGGGAACAAUCAAACACGAAGCAGAGAUAAAAAUAUGAAGUUUUGUUAAGAAAUAUCAAAGAAGAGCUGCUCUGAGUCUUGUUGAGCUCAUGCAAAACUUGUCUUUAAAAUCUCUCAUGUUUGUCGAGGGUUCAACAGCCAGCAGCUGCAGAGUCAGUCUGGAAAGAGAACUAUAUGUAAUAUGAGAAACUGUGUCAAUCAGAGACUUAACAGGAUACUUAACAGUUUGUUCUGGUGUCUAAAGUGUGUAUUUUAUUAAAGGGUACAUAUUUUUCCCUCCAGACUAGGGAGAGGACUUGACAAGAUUUUAUUGAUAUCGAUUCUGCUUAUCGAUACAAUUCUUUAACGAUUCCCUUAUCAAUGCCUCUCAAGUAGACUAUAGGUUUCACUGUUAACUCAAAAUUUUAUUGAGUCUCUGAUAACAGAAAAAGAUGUACGCCACCUUCAGUGAAAGUCUAAAAAUAAUCACUUCACUUCACUUAAACUUUAUUAUGUCCCAAAAAUGGGCAAAUCGGGUUGCAGCAGGCACAGGCAUUUAAAACACUGCCAUAUGUCAUAAAAAAUAAUAAAAUAAAAUAAAAUACAUCUACAUAAAAAGCAGUUCAGGAGGUAAAAAGUAUCAAAGAUGAUUUAGAAAGUAAAAAAAGAAAGUACUUUCGCAUGAACAGAGUGCAUAAGAUAAAAUGCAAAAAUCAAACGACAAACAAUUUGUUGCGCAUUUACUUUGGUGCUAUCAAGUCAAAUAUAUAGUACGUUGUUUCGUCUGGCAUUCAUUGUGCUUAUGUCAACACAGGACAUGCACCUUCCAUGCCGUGCUGAGACAGAGCUGCAGCGGCUGACGACCGGCGGAGAGCAUUGAAUACAUGUGAUUCCUUAUAUUUGAUGCCGUGCCCCGCUGACAAAUGUUUAAGCAUGUUACUGGUGUUUUCACCUUUGCAUGUUAUCACUGCUUGACAAACGUUGCACAUCGCGAUGUUGUCAUCUCUCUUAGUAAAAUUAAGCCACACUUUAGUUUGUUUCUGCCUACUUUUUGUACCGUCCGCCAUGUUUUUUUCCUUAAAGUCUCUGUUCUCGUUCAUGUAGACCAGCACUCGACCAUUUUUCAAGGCACCUGGAGGAAAGGAAUCGUUCAGGGAAUUGUUAAGAUAAAAUGUAAAUGAUGUCGAUGAAUUGAACCAUUUGGAAACGGUUCUCAAUUCCCAUCCCUAUUCCAGACAGGUAAAUCAAUUCUGAAAUUCCAUUUAUUUUCAUUUGGUUCUCAUUCUUAAUCCUUGGACUCUGAUCAAGUCUCUGUACAUGGUGUUUUAUUUUUGAAUAGACUCGAUGGUACGUGCCAUUCUUGUGUUUGGUUUCCUAGGUCAGUCUUUGUUGUUCAGCUUGAUAUCUGCUAAAUUUUCAGAACUAGCCUGAGCGCAGUGGUGGUGAUUGCCUGGUGGUCUCAUCGCCCUGAAUAUAAAGAUUAUAAUCCUUGUUGCAUUGGUCUCUAGUUGGCAAAUGACCUUGACUGCAUGUCUUUCCUCACUCUUUAGGGAACCAGCAAUCGGCAACAAGUCCUCUACCUUGCAAAUCCUAUCAAAGUGUUAUAAGUAGUUGAUUGAUUGACUCUCAUUAAUAAACUCCUGCCAAGUCCAGACAGUGUCAGAACCUGAUUGAGAGGAGUUCAAGAAUGAAAUGCUGAAAAACACUGAUAGUUUUGAAAAUGCUAGUUUUUACAGUUGUAAAAUCAGUCUCCACAGUCUUCUUGUGUUAAACAAAUUGAAGAGGUUUGGUACAUUUGUAUUGGUUCGGUAGUUUAACAAUGAUAAAGGCAGUCUGCAGCAGAGAUUGUGUAAUGUUGAAAAUGAACAUGAAGAAUAAGUUUGCAGUUUCCUAACUCUCCUGUGGUCCUUAUUCUAAAAUGUUAACAGCUCAGCACUCAGACCAACGACUUUAGAGAGAUUGAUAAAGUUUUCUGAACUCACAGAACAACUUGUACACACACACACACAAACACACACAAAACACAAUGAUCAAUUAUACACAAGGCAGCCAGGUAAUAUAAUGUGAGGUCCAUUAAUCCUGAUAACUUUGUCACUGUGCCAGCUGUCAUUUGCUGUGUGUGUGUCUGUGUGUGUGUGUGUAGGUGUUUGUCUGUGGAGAAGCAGGUGUAGCAGGGGAGGGGAGUGACGGGGUUUCCCUCGCUGGAGUCUGGCUGCAGACCUUUUUGGAUAGCCUGAGGUACAGAGCCUCGUUUUUCAUGUCGACAGCUCUGCUUAUGGCUCUGAUACUUUCCCUUGAUUAUGUGUGUGUGAGUGCGUGUGUGUGUGUGUGUGAGGCCAUGACUUUUAAGAGAGAUCAUUUGCAUAUCCAGACCCCGUGGCACUUCCCAGCGCUUUCUCAAUCAGAAGCUUUUUGGGGUUUGGUUUGAAUAAUGAAAGUUAUAAAAGAUGUAAUUCAUUCACGGACCAAAAUAGUAAAAGCAAAAUGAAACCCCUCAGGUGUUACUGUGUCUGCCGCGUGUGUGCGAGCUUGGUUUGUGAUGGUGUUUGUGAAAAACCUAUUACAGCCGAUGGACCAGAGUGAUAGCCUGCUCUCAGCUUUAUAGCGGCUGAUGGCUGUGUGUGUGUGUGUGUGUGUGCAUAAUGCAUGGAUCACGAUUUACAGAGAUAGCCUUGGGUAAUUAGAAAAAUACUAUCGCACUAUUUGCAAACAAGAUCAAUUUAUCAGUGUUUUCUUGUGAUCAAAAGCACUUUGCAUGUAAAUGUGCGGCAUUAACAUUAACGGUCUCCAAAGUGUUUAGCGUUGUUUAGUAUCAACAUACGUUUCUUGUUUUUGUGUGUUCCAUUAUCAUCCGUUUUCACAGCCGCCCUGUUUUUAUGUUUGGUUUCUCUAUCUCAGCGAGGCUUACGUUUUUGUGUGUGUGUGUAUGUGCAGACACGUGUCGUCGAGCAUGUGAUAUCCAUCAAGAACAGCAACCAUUUCCUCCGAGUACAGUGUCAACAAACACUAUCAGGGGACCAGUCAGCAGUCCAAUGAAAGAUGCACCUGGGUGUUUUUCCCCCCCUGCAGAAAGGCUUGAUGUAUUUGUCUACCGAGACACAACUGUGUGUGUUUGCGUCUGCCGCGGUGCUCUCAAAAGAAAUAGAUUUCACAUCUACUGUUGCUUACAUGCGUUUACUCUUUGUCUCUGGAGAUGGAUGAUUCCCAUCACUGCGCCGUGUGCGUCAUGUGUGCGAGGGUAAAGGACAAAUCAUGAGAGCGGGAGGGACAGAGAGGAGGACAGGUGAAGAAGAAAAGGUGUUGAGAGAAUUUUCAUGUUUUCCCCGUCAUUAUUUUUUCCUCCUGUCAGUCUGUCUCUCUCAGUCUGCUUCUAUUUUAAGCUCCCUGCUCUGCUUUGAGGUAAUUAUAAUAAUUCAGAAAAGCAGCAUGAACAUGUAAAAGCCUUUCAGCAAAGACAAGCCACCAAUUCUACCUCCAAUAAACUUCAAAUUUGUCACAUCUUUGGCUUUCUGCAUUAGUGGUGGGAAGAACAGUUCUUUGGACCGUACUGACUCUUUAAAAAUCCCUUCAUUAAAAUGAUUUGUUCAAAAGAUUCGUUCACCGAAUCAGUCAGUGCUUCAGAGCCCCGGAGUUCGUUCAGUGAACGAGCCCCUCCCCUCCUCUCUGCUGCUGAAGAAUCUCUCCCCUGCCCUGAAAAACUGACCUCUCUGUGUGCUGCCGACAUGCACAUCGCGACACGAGUGAAACAACACAACAGCAAUCAGCACGUCUGCUAAACAAGUGCGAGAUGUUGAUCUUGUUGUUGAAAAGAGAGUCUGCUUUUACUUUGUGAGGACGUGCUGUUGACUGACCAAAGUUUCUAACAUGUCAGAAAAUCAUCUUUGAUCAGCCUUUGUGCUCCACAGUCAGGCACUCUGCUGUCACUACUCCUUUGUACUUUCAGACAGGACCACAAAAUAACAUUAGUCAGUCCACAUGCUCACAGCAAAGUCCCAUCUGGUUUUCCGGUGAAGUCUUACCUCAGUCUGCAUGUAUCUGCCGACCUUCAACCACUCUUAAAACAGCAUGUGUCACUCUGCUUCUCAUCUCUCUCCUCUGGAUUCCAGUUGGAGCUCAUAUCAAAUACAAAACUCUACUUCCUGCUUACAAAACAGCAGGAAAAAUGGCUCCUGUCGACCCUAAUCUGGAUUCCACAAUCCACCAAUAAUGAAAGGUUCCUAGUGCUCCCAUCACAACAGGGCACCAAGUCCCUAGCUAUAGGCUCUUUUCCUUCUUUGUCCCCCCAGUGGAGGAGUGAAUUACCAAACUCCAUUAGAUCUCCAGAGUCCCUUUCUCUAAGCUCUUUGGGGAACACCUACACGCCUCAGUAUAGCUCUUCUCCCCUGUAGUCCCCAGUGAUCGAGCGAGUUAUCUAACCACUUCUGAUCCACAAAGUCUCUUUCUACUUGUUAGAAAUUUCCAAACCUAGCUCCUUUUGAACAGCUCAGCACUCGGUAGUUUGGUGCUACCAAGCGGAAAAACCUCUUUAGGAAUGAGGCCGAUUCAGAAGUGCUAAAAAUUGCAGUUCCCCGAGUGCCCACUUGAGGCAGAAAUAGAAACAGCGGGAACCACAAACACUAUAACCCCCAAUUUCUACCGCUUCCGAACCCAUCCAGCAAUUUACAACCAGGAGAUAGAUGAAACUGUAUUUAUUCACCACAGCCCAAACAUGUUAUCCGAAUAUCAUGACUUCUGACCCCCAAAACUAAGACUCUAAAAGUGAUCUCGCCCAGCUAAUGCCUACAAACACUCUGCCAGCCAUUGUGCGACCUCAGUCUGGCCACAUCCACCUCUUUGAAAGAGUCUAUAGCUGGCCGCUGAACCUCUAUGAGUGCAAUAAAAAAUAACUCCUUUAUUUGUAUGCAGCUCUGGCUCUAUAAUAGGAAACAAAUAAAGAAGCCCGGGCCAAGGCACACAACAGUCAUCCAGCCAAUCAGCAACAGGUCGUGUUUGCACACUCUGUCAUCUGCUGGCUGCUCUCUCCCUCUUCAGUGUCCUUCCCUGUGAGGAAUAAAGCCGCACUGUUUCAGCUGUGAUCCAUUCCGUAUGAAUAAUAAUUGAAGGUGUCACAUUGAAGAGUGUAAAACCAACUUUCUAACAGAGUUUGUUCAUUCUUCGUAUUAAAAGAAAAAUGCAUAUGUAAGAUAUGAUGCACACAAUCUUCUUACCUCGCACCACAUUGUCUUAUUACUGAGUGUUUGUGCAAGUUUUACAUAAAACUUCUUACAUAAAAUCAAAUUUAAAGCAGUUUUUAAAGCCAACAAAUUUCUAAUGUUGGAAUAAAAUCAUGAGCGUUGAAUUUCUAGUUGGGACACUCUUCUUUGACCUUGGUUGUUUGAUGUUCGCAUGUUUGAUACGUUUUGCAAUUACUGUAAAGUGAUCAUUAAACUCUUUCUGAACUGUUUUAUACAAGUCAUUCUCGAAUCUCGACAUUGAGUCGUGUCAUUGAGAGUCAAGAUCGAACAGGUUUGCUCUGACCAGCUCCAAACAGGAGGCUGCAAACCCUGAAAAACAAUCACGGCUGGGGGGAGAAAGAGCACUAAACUGUGAAAAAAGGAUGCUGAGAGAGUUAAGAAUGCCUCUUUGACCCGUCCUCCCUUUUAUAUCAUGAUAGAGUAGAGAAGGAAAAAAGAGGGACAGAGAUUGCUGUGGCUCUCGACAUCCUUCGUCAGCUAACUGGCUAACCUCCGCCCAGAAUGGAGCUUUGAAUGUAAUCGUAGUCUUGCAGUUGGUGACCCUGCAAGAUCCUCUUUCUUUGUAAAUUCUUUAGGCUGUGAUCAAAAACUCUGUGACUCUGUGACACGCUGAUGUGGGAGGGUACGAGGAGCUAGUCCUUUAAAAGUUUUUCCAAAGUCCUCUAAAGCUUAAAAGCAUCGCACAGCUCAGUUGACACCUCCGUUACCCAUUGUGUAGCACUUGAAGAGGCGACUUGUGUACCGCUUUAGGCACUGAGACCUCCUGGUAUUUAAUAUGUGUUCCUCUAUUUGAUUAAAAAGUGUAAUCCGACAUGAAACAGAUUAAAAUACAUUUGAGUAAAGAGUCAUGACAGUUUUUAUGUACAGCCUCUUUUGUCUACUGCUGUUUGAAAUCCUUCAAUAAAAUGAAAUAUGACAAACCAUGGUUCAAAAAAUGAUAUUUAAAGGGAUAUUCUGGCGUAAAAUUAAUUUAUGGUCAAACAGACCAUAACACCAAGUUAGACACCCCCUUAAGAGAUGAAUGUUGCCGACCGUUUGCUUCUCUAGUUAAACCAACUUUAGUAAUGACCGCACGAUAGCAAUACACAGCGGUCUGAGGAGCCAUAAACUAACCUCAACCAAGAGACUAAACACAACUCACCUACUCUCUUCCAGCAGCCGCUUGUUUGUAGCGAGACCUAAGGCCAGUCCAUCACAGACUGUGGCGGGGUGACGCAGCUCAAGGAAGAACAUUUCUGAUCAUGUGGUCGUUACUCAAGUUGGUAUAACUAGAGAAACAAGCGGUCGGCAACAUUCAUCUCUUGAGUGGGUGUCUAACUCGGUGUUACAGUGUGUUUGACUCUAACUUAAUUUAACGCUGGAAUAUCCCUUUAAAUGAAGGCUAGGUUGUUUUAAAUUCCUAUAACACUCAAGUAAAAGACACGCCAUCAUAAACAGCCUGACAAUAUGGAGGUUUUGCAGCUCCUCAUUUGAGCACCAAGACCAAUAUUCCUCCAACCAAAACGCUCAUUUCAUCCUUCUUGUCUUUGUCUUUCGAUGCGGUGCUCCUGUUUUUCUCCCUCUCAUUAAUUUCUGUUGUUUGCCUUCCUUUUUUUUCCUGUUGAUGUUGCACACGGCUCCUCCUCUCUCAGAUCAAUGCCGUCUUGGGUCUGUGCUUCUGUAUUUUGACAUUUGGCUCCUGCUGAGAGAUUAAUUAGCUGUCUACCUCGGAGAUUCAUGUAGAUGAUGCCUCUUGACAUCCCUCACUUUGUCUUGUCAUCUCUUCCGCUCUCACUUUUUGCUUCCUUUCUUUCUUACCUACAUUUUUGCCCUUUUCAGUCUCGGGUUUGUAACUCUUUCUGGUAUUCUUGUGAGGUACUGUAACAAAGAAACUUCCAAUUUCUGUCUAAAUCCAAUUAAUUCCUCUUCAGUGUGUGUGCUGAGAAAACAAAAUUUGAUAGAUGUCUCCCUGAUGCACUUGAGGCAGGCCGUGUUAUUGAGCGCUUUAUCCGUAUUCAAAGCAUGAGCUCGCCCGUGGGCCUUUACAUGCUGCAUGUACAGUGAUGUAAAGCAGAGGUCACCAGAGACAAAAGCUUAAGCCUUUGUUGCAGGAAGGAUCAAUUACAGUGCUGGAGGACAAGAUCAGGCAGAUUCAGAUAGAUUUGUAGAGCCGUUUUGACACUUUAGAGAAACAUCCGAGCUUUGAUUCUGGUCACAUGUGCAAAGCGAUUGAACACAUUUUAAAUAACGCUGUGUUUUCCCCCUCUUUUUUCCCCCUGAAAUAGAAAGUACAUGCUCAACCCCUUUGGGUGAAAGCACUUAGUACGCAAAAAUACGGCUUUACAUAAUUUUGUGCUCUUGGAAAAACUAAGUGGCAGCAGUUCUUUGCUCUUUUCUCCAUAACUAACAGCACUCUGUUUUAAACUUUCAUGUGCUUCCAGAGCGAGUCCGCAGAAGAGUAAAUGCUGUGGGAGGAGGUCUUGUCAGGCUGCGUUAACCGAGAGCUGCGGUAAGAGAGCAGACAGCAACACGGUUCGUCUGCUGGGCUGAUGAGUUGCAUAUUUUACGCAAUGUUUGGUUAACAUUGCUUGAAGAUGUUUUUAGAGUGUGUUCAAGCCCAACGGGAUUUAUUUAAAUUCCUCACAAAGCCGUAAGAGGAAAAUGAGAAUUUAGAUACAAAAACUACAAUUUUUAAAGUAAGUCGAAACAGCAGCUCGAUGGAGAGAAAAAGCUGCAGAAAGGUUAUUCUCCUUCUGUCUAUUUAUAAAACAGGCUUUGUUGUGUUUUCUUUUUCGUGCUUUAAACCUGCAGUAAGAGGGGAAAAAAACAGUAUGUUCGUGUAUUUUUGCAACUUCUGAGUCAUUCACUUUGCACGACCUGCACGAAGAAGGUUGAAAUAUUGAUGUUCCUCUACAUUUACAGUUUUAUCACACUUUACAGUUUGCAGACACCUUGACAGUAGAGACUUCUUUGACAUAAAAAUUAAGAUUUGAAGGACUUGGAAGUCAAUACUGCAGAAUAAAAUGAAUUAAUGUAAGCCUCAUGUGAUGCAUUCAGCACUAUGUUAUGGUCAGAUUCACUACUUGAAUAUCAGCCUGGCUCAUGAACCGUUCAGUGUGCAAAUGUUUUUUAGUAAAUGUGAUCAAAUGUGAUCACUAACCAUCAUCGUUGGGCUUCAUGACUCCUCUCUGUUGCUUGCUGCCCUGAUUAUCUCUGUCUUAUUCUGUGUUCCAGUUGUACCCGGAAUUUCUGAGUUCCGAGUCAGAAAUUCAUCUGGAACGCCCCCCUGAAGUUGGACGAUCCUCGCCAACCCCGACUUGACAACAACGUCAUAAUCCAAUAUGGCAGUGCAGUUCACCAACAGUAAAGAGUAACAGUGAAAGCUCUCAUAAUGUUUUAUUUAUUAGCACUUCUGUUUUGUUUUAAUGAAAUUAAAUAAGUGUUAUAUGUUGUACUGCCCAACAUCCAACUGUGAACACAGUGCUUUGGUGUUUGUAAAAGUAAAAUACGGUGUUAUGCGUUUUGUAAAACUGGUAUAGCUAACAACAACUAACAACAGCUGAUCAUUGUAAACAGCAGCUAACAACAGCUAACAGUAGGCUUCCAUUUUGGUUUUUCCGACUUGUUAACAGGAACGCCGUAAACUCGGGUGUAACAUCAUUCCCAGCUCCGACUGAAAAGCAGCAUUAGCUCUGGUUGCUAGCAUAACCUGCUUAAUUCCUGGUUCUUGAACUGUAUGUGUGUAUCAUGAAAGAUGUAUCCUAAAAGCAUCAGUAUUAAAGUUGAGAUAAAAAUGA
This is a non-coding RNA of Xyrichtys novacula (pearly razorfish), 18232 nucleotides long. The record is from the annotation of a GenBank genome assembly. NCBI's taxonomy places the organism in Eukaryota, Metazoa, Chordata, Actinopteri, Labriformes, Labridae.